UCUCCGUAGGUGAACCUGCGGAGGGAUCAUUACUGAGUGAGGGCCUUCGGGCUCGACCUCCAACCCUUUGUGAACACAACUUGUUGCUUCGGGGGCGACCCUGCCGUUUCGACGGCGAGCGCCCCCGGAGGCCUUUAAACACUGCAUCAUUGCGUCGGAGCAUUUUUUGUAAAUCUAAACAAAACUUUCAACAACGGAUCUCUUGGUUCUGGCAUCGAUGAAGAACGCAGC
Molecule: unclassified non-coding RNA, 231 nt
Filed under: uncultured fungus
Lineage: Eukaryota; Fungi
Description: sequence contains ITS1, 5.8S rRNA gene
Rfam family: 5.8S ribosomal RNA (bases 183-231)
Source: RNAcentral